Molecule: ribosomal RNA, 399 nt
Filed under: uncultured soil bacterium
Lineage: Bacteria
Description: bacterial SSU rRNA
Rfam family: Bacterial small subunit ribosomal RNA
Source: RNAcentral
AGAACGAACGCUGGCGGCAUGCCUAAUACAUGCAAGUCGAACGAACACUUCGGUGUUAGUGGCGCACGGGUGCGUAACGCGUGGGAAUCUGCCCUUGGGUUCGGAAUAACAGUUGGAAACGACUGCUAAUACCGGAUGAUAUCGAAAGAUCAAAGAUUUAUCGCCCAGGGAUGAGCCCGCGUAGGAUUAGCUAGUUGGUGAGGUAAAGGCUCACCAAGGCGACGAUCCUUAGCUGGUCUGAGAGGAUGAUCAGCCACACUGGGACUGAGACACGGCCCAGACUCCUACGGGAGCAGCAGUAGGGAAUAUGGACAAGUGGGCACAAGCCUAGACUCCAGCAAGUGGCCGCGUGAGUGAUGAAGGCCGUUAGGGUAGUAAACGCUCCGUUUAACCCGAGUA